RNAcentral lists this ribosomal RNA (488 nucleotides) under uncultured bacterium. RNAcentral's name for it is "bacterial SSU rRNA". It matches the Rfam family "Bacterial small subunit ribosomal RNA", at positions 38 to 518 of the family's 1533-position model. The record is from RNAcentral.
GGCGGCGUGCCUAACACAUGCAAGUCGAACGGGACUAUCAAGUGAUGUUUCGGACUGAACUUUUAGUUAGUGGCGGACGGGUGAGUAACGCGUGGACAACCUGCCUCUCACUGGGGGAUAGCAGCUGGAAACGGCUGGUAAUACCGCAUACGUUCAAUGUGCCGCAUGACACAUUGAAGAAAGAUUUAUCGGUGAGAGAUGGGUCCGCGUCUGAUUAGCCAGUUGGCGGGGUAACGGCCCACCAAAGCGACGAUCAGUAGCCGGCCUGAGAGGGCGGACGGCCACAUUGGGACUGAGACACGGCCCAGACUCCUACGGGAGGCAGCAGUGGGGGAUAUUGCACAAUGGGCGCAAGCCUGAUGCAGCGACGCCGCGUGAGUGAAGAAGUAUUUCGGUAUGUAAAGCUCUAUCAGCAGGGAAGAAAGGCCCGCAAGGGAGAUGACGGUACCUGACUAAGAAGCCCCGGCUAACUACGUGCCAGCCGCAGC